RNAcentral lists this long non-coding RNA (660 nucleotides) under Homo sapiens (human). RNAcentral's name for it is "non-protein coding lnc-PCSK2-2:3". The record is from RNAcentral. Lineage: Eukaryota; Metazoa; Chordata; Mammalia; Primates; Hominidae.
GACUCAUCAAGGCAGCAACAGAAAAUGGACACAGCCGUGUUUCAUCAGCUACAUGCUAUAGCUUGUUACUGACCACCUGCAGUGGAGCUGCCACCAAAAUGCAGAUUUUUGUGAAAACCCUCACAGGGAAGACCAUCACCCUCAAGGUUGAACCCUCAGAUACGAUAGAAAAUAUAAAGGCCAAGACCCAGGAUAAGGAAAGAAUUCCUCCUGAUCAGUAAAGACUGAUCUUUGCUAGCAAGCAACUGGAGGAUGGAUGUGCUUUGUCUGACUACAACAUUCAAAAGGAGUCUACUCUUCAUCUUGUGUUGAGACUUCGUGGUGGUGCUAAGAAAAGGAAGAAGUCUUACACCACUCCCAAGAAGAAUAAGCACAAGAGGAAGAAGAUUAAGCUGGCUGUCCUGAAAUACUAUAAGGUAGACGAGAAUGGCAAAAUUAGUCACCUUCAUCGAGAGUGCCCUUCUGAUGAAUGUGGUGCUGGAGUGUUUAUGGCAAGCCACUAUGACAGACAUUAUUGUGGCAAAUGUUGUCUGACUUACUGCUUCAACAAACCAGAAGACAAGGAACUGUAUGAGUUAAUAAAAGACAUGAACUAACAAACAAAACAAAACAAACAAACAAACAAAAUCAUUUCCUUUUGCGUUUCCUCCUGCCUCAGCC